CGCACGGUGGCUUAGUGGUUAGCACGUUCGCCUGUUCGAUUCCAGGGUCCCGGGUUCGAUUCCCGCUGGGGCUGUGUGU
Non-coding RNA from Ameiurus melas (black bullhead), 79 nucleotides. Lineage: Eukaryota; Metazoa; Chordata; Actinopteri; Siluriformes; Ictaluridae. The record is from the annotation of a GenBank genome assembly.